UCGAGNAUAGUCUACAAUGGCCGAAAGGCUGAUAGUGCGACGCCGCGUGAACGAAGAAGCCCUUCGGGGUGUAAAGUUCUUUUAUAUGUGAGCAAUGCCUUUUAUGUGAAUAGCAUGAGAGGAGCGAUAUUAGCAUAUGAAUAAGCAACGGCUAACUCCGUGCCAGCAGCCGCGGUAAUA
This 180-nucleotide ribosomal RNA is filed under the name uncultured bacterium. RNAcentral's name for it is "partial 16S ribosomal RNA". It matches the Rfam family "Bacterial small subunit ribosomal RNA", at positions 355 to 525 of the family's 1533-position model. The record is from RNAcentral.